AUGGGCUGGGUGCAGGACCCUCAUAUUCAAGAGUUGCUUCUCAAGCAAACGGAUAACGCAAGAGCUGCCGCCCGAGAAAAAGCCAAGAUGGAUCAACUUGAGUUAGACGCGGUUACUCCAUUGUAUGAAGGAUGCAGGCCCGAGGAUACCCGCCUGAAAGUAACGCUCAUGGCUCUAGAGAUGAAGGUAAAACACAAAAUGACCGAUGCAUGCUUCGACGAGAACAUGUCAUUCUGGCACGAACAUCUUCCCAAGGGGAACAAGUGCCCGACCAGUUUGGAGGAGGCGAAGAAAAUCGUGUGUCCUCUGGAUUUACCGCACGUGAAAUACCAUGUGUGCAUGAACAAUUGCAUCAUUUAUCGGGACGAGCACGCGGAGUCUACCAUAUGUCCGGUGUGCGAUGUCACUCGAUACAAGAAGAGGAAGAAAGCUCGUCGAAAAGUGGUGUGGUACUUUCCGAUCACUCCUCGUCUGCAGCGGUAUUUCGCGGACCCUAAGGUAGCAAAGCUCCUGCGUUGGCACGCGGAUAGGGAGGAGAAGAAGCGAGAAGAUGACGCAAAUGAUCCGGAGAUAGAUAAAAAAGACAAGAUGCCGAGUCACCCUAAGGAUGCGAGCCAGUGGCAAGCGUUGAACUUCGAAUACCCAGAAUUUGGGAACGAUCCAAGGAACAUCGUGCUGGGCGCGAGCACCGAUGAAGUCAAUCCGUUUGGCAGCCAGAGAAGCACACAUAGCACCUGGCCUGUGUUUGUGUGGAUGUACAACCUUCCCCCCUGGUUGCGCAUGAAGAGGAAGUACAUUCACAUGAGUAUGCUAAUUGAAGGGCCGAAACAACCAGGGAACGACAUCAAUCUGUAUCUGGGGCUGCUGAAAGAGGAGCUUGGCACGCUGUGGAAAACGCCAGCCAAUACGUGGGACGCCGCAGAGAAAGAAUAUUUCCCUAUGAGAGCCGCACUGCUCACGACGGUGCACGACUAUCUCGGUUACGGAUAUCUUGCGGGGCAGGUAGUCCACGGAUUUUCUGGAUGCGUAAGGUGCAUGGAUGACACAACGUAUCGCCAGCUAGAUAGAGAUCCCGGGUCUUCGAAAACCGUGUUCAUGGGACAUCGAAGGUGGCUUCGCGACGAUGACCCGUGGAGGAAACGCAAGGAUCUGUUCGAUGGUGAAACCGAACCCCGAAAACGCCCAUGUACGAGGACCGGCGAGGAAAUAGACAAGCUGUUGAAAAAUUGGAAAGACUGCCCACUGCCGGGAAAGAAGCAAAAGGCGCCAGAGCCGGGAAAGAAGCGAAAGGCGCCAGAGCCGCUGCUGAAGGUAUGGAAAACGAGGUCUGUUUUCUGGGACUUGUCGUACUGGAAGAUCCACCGUGUGCCUCACAGCCUUGAUGUCAUGCAUAUCACGAAGAACGUGUGCGAGAGUCUGCUUGGUACCCUGCUCAACAUGCCAGAGAAGAGCAAAGAUGGGCCGAAAGCAAGGGCAGACUUGAAAUCAAUGGGCAUCAGGCAGGAGCUUCACGCUAUAUAUGAUGAUGAUGAUGAUGAUGAUGAUGAUGAUGAUGAUGAUGAUGAUGAUGAUGAGGCGAAGCAGGACACAGAAAGUCGUCGCAAAGGCAAAAAGGCCAAGAAGACCGGAAAUGACUACCCUCCCGCGUGCUUCACUGUAAGUCAGGAGGAGAUCGAUCAGUUUUUCACCUGCCUCCUAGGAGUAAAACUUCCUUACGGUUACGCGGGGAAGAUAAGCAGAUACCUAGACCCAGCGAAGCAGAAGUUCAGCGGGAUGAAGUCUCACGACUGUCACGUGCUGAUGACGCAGAUACUUCCAGUUGCAAUCCGUGGGAUCAUGGAUGUGCACGUCCGUGAAACGCUAUUUGGCCUAUGCAACUUCUUCGACGUCAUCUCUCGGAAGUCGAUUGGCGUGAGGCAACUCAGAAGGCUACAGGAAGAGAUCGUGGUGAUACUAUGCGAGCUUGAGAUGUACUUCCCGCCCGCAUUCUUCGACGUUAUGGUGCAUCUGCUGGUCCAUAUAGUGGAGGAUAUCAUCCAACUCGGGCCGACGUUCCUGCACAGCAUGAUGCCGUUCGAAAGGAUGAAUGGUGUCAUCAAAGGAUACGUUCGCAACAUGUCACGUCCAGAAGAAAACAUAGCCAGGGGCUUUCUGACCGAAGAGUGCAUCUCCUACUGCACGAAUUAUCUAGGCAUCGAGAACCCCGUUGGUCUGCCCGUCAACAGGCACCUCGGCAGGCUCGCUGGAUGGGGUCACCGUGAGGGUCGCCGCGAAAUGCAUGUCGACUUCGAGGGUCGACUCGCCGACUUUGAAAGAGCAAACCUAGUCGCGCUACAACACAUAGACGUGGUCGAUCCUUGGGUGGUAGAGCACAAAACCUUUAUUAAGAAGACGUACAAUGACCGAGGCCAACAGAGGACGGACGGAGAUAUACUCAAAGAGCACAACUCAUGUUUCACGCGUUGGUUCAAGCAGAAGCUUCUGUCGUACCCUUUACAUGAGGAUUCUUCCGCGGAAGAACAACUCAUAUUCGCCUUGUCACAGGGUGCCGAGCACAACCUGAUGACCUAUGAGGCGUACGAUAUCAACGGCUACACAUUCUACACCGAGGCCAAGGACAUGAAGAGCGAUGGUUAUCAGAACUCCGGGGUAACGAUGGAAUCCUACACUGGUAACGACAAGGACAGAUACUACGGAAGGAUCGAGGAGAUCUGGGAGCUGAGCUACGCUGGAGAGAAGGUCCCGAUGUUCCGUGUCAGAUGGGCCAAGAACGUCAUAAAAGAAGACCGGUAUUUCACCAUCAUGGUUAUACCCGAAGCCAAAUCCAAGACCGCGGGCGCAAACGUCACCGCGAAAAAUGAGCCAUGGGUACUGGCUUCCCAAGUGGACCAAUGCUUCUUCAUUACCGACCCGCCAAAGCCCAGUCGUGUUGUCGUGAGGAGAGGCAAAAGGAAGAUCAUCGGAAUGGAUGGAGUAGCCAAUGAGCAAGACUUCGACAAGUACGGCUACCUGAGGAUCGAACAUGACGACGAUGAUGAAGUAGCAGCAUACACCACAAGAAGCAGGACCACCCUACCUAAAGGACGUCCGUUCCAUAGAAGAACUCCAUUUGCGAAAAAGAAGGGCAAGAAGAUUGUGAACAGAUAG
RNAcentral lists this ribosomal RNA (3147 nucleotides) under Triticum aestivum (bread wheat). RNAcentral describes it as "partial small subunit ribosomal RNA". The record is from RNAcentral. Lineage: Eukaryota; Viridiplantae; Streptophyta; Magnoliopsida; Poales; Poaceae.